Molecule: ribosomal RNA, 254 nt
Filed under: uncultured bacterium
Lineage: Bacteria
Description: partial 16S ribosomal RNA
Rfam family: Bacterial small subunit ribosomal RNA
Source: RNAcentral
GACGGAGGGUGCUAGCGUUGUUCGGAAGCACUGGGCGUAAAGGGCGCGUAGGCGGCCUUGCAAGGCGGUUGGUGAAAGCCCGGGGCUCAACCCCGGAGGUGCGGCCGAGACUGCAGGGCUGGAGGCCGGAAGAGGAGGGUGGAAUACCCAGUGUAGAGGUGAAAUUCGUAGAUAUCGAGAGGAACACCGGUGGCGAAGGCGGCCUUCUGGACAGUGACUGACGCUGAGACGCGAAAGCGUGGGGAGCAAACAGG